Molecule: unclassified non-coding RNA, 553 nt
Filed under: Hevea brasiliensis (rubber tree)
Lineage: Eukaryota; Viridiplantae; Streptophyta; Magnoliopsida; Malpighiales; Euphorbiaceae
Source: RNAcentral
UUCACUUUAUAUUCAAGCUCUGCUGGGAAUCCACCAUUGACCCGUGUUAAAUACCGUGAAAUCUGCUCCUCUCUACUUCUUGGGGAGGGUGAGACCUUGUCAAGCCAUACAAACAUGCUUCAAUUUGCUUGCUUCCUUUUGAGUUGCACUAGAGAUGGGCUUUGCAGAACUCCAUAUAGCAAUUGUCCUGUGACAUCAACAAACCUACCUUUCUGUUAAUGUUUUUUUCCGCCGUUAAAGACUUGUAAUUGGCAAGCACAAAAAAGGUCCAAUGGUGGCUGUUCCUCCAGUACACACAAAUUGACCCCAGUAGUCAUAGGCAAGCAUGAUCAUCAGAGUCUGAGGCCAAUAAGCACUUGUGGGAGGAGAUAAAAGAAAUUUCCAGUUCCUCCAGAUUCCUACUUUCUUCUUCUCUCCGAGCUGCUUCAGAAAUGUCAGUAUGAGAUGGGGAAGUCUUUGGGAAUGGCUCCAGUAUGACACCAAUAAUCCUCUUAAUUAUAGACUCAAAACUAAUUGGACUUCCAAACCAGUCGUGUUAUCACAAUUAUAAUAG